This is a small nuclear RNA of Pygocentrus nattereri (red-bellied piranha), 187 nucleotides long. Its record names the gene U2. It matches the Rfam family "U2 spliceosomal RNA". From Rfam's summary of the family: U2 is a small nuclear RNA (snRNA) component of the spliceosome (involved in pre-mRNA splicing). The record is from Ensembl. Lineage: Eukaryota; Metazoa; Chordata; Actinopteri; Characiformes; Serrasalmidae.
AUCGCUUCUCGGCCUCUUGGCUAAGUAGAUCAAGUGUAGUACCUGUUCUUAUCGGGUUAAUAUCUGAGACGGCCUCUAUAUGAGGGCUACAUACUGAAUAGAGUUUUAGAACUGGGAGGAAGAGGAGCUCUGUCUGCUCUACACCUCGACCUGGUAUUGCAGUACCUCCGGGAACGGCGCACCUCCG